This is a long non-coding RNA of Hermetia illucens (black soldier fly), 933 nucleotides long. RefSeq lists it as uncharacterized. The transcript is spliced from 3 exons. The record is from RefSeq and is a predicted model, not a curated record. NCBI's taxonomy places the organism in Eukaryota, Metazoa, Arthropoda, Insecta, Diptera, Stratiomyidae.
AUAAUAAAAACUUGCUUUUUCUAAUCGCUCAAUCAGUCAAUAAAUAACACUAGCGAAUAGAAAAAGCCAGUUUUUAUUAUUUCAAAUAAUUUAAUCGCUAGAAAUACCGCGUAAUUUCGCUCAGAGUAUAUUAAUGGUCACUAGCUAUUAUUUUGAAAAUUUGUGACUAAGAAUUUUCAUGCAAAGAUCAAGUCAAAUGUUGGAGAGUAAUUGAAGUUCAGGACAUACUUGACUGUUAUGACAGUUGGGUUGUGGAGCAUUCAUUCUUUGAAACUUUUUUUUAACAAGGACGUGCACUUCUAAAUUUCAAACCUCUCCUUUCAGAGACGAAGCCUACUCCACAAAGAAGAUGAAGCCAUUUCGAUAAACUCUUGUAUGCUACGAGUAGGGUCAUAGAUAGGAAACCUGGGCCGGGGUGAAAUUUAUGCUUUCCAGUGUUUUCACUUUGGCCCCGAUGAGGGUCCAUCAGCCCCCCUUCGAUGGGUAUCCUCUUAAAGAAUCUCGAUUUUUUUAGCUCCGUUUUCUUCCUGAAAACGCAACUAAACUCCGACACUUAUCUCAACGUUGAAUACACCUGGUGAUUCAUUACAGAAACAAACCUAAUGACAGGGGGGUGAAUCCCCCUGUCUCGGAGUUUUAGCGGGAGUAUGGCAUCAUUGAAAUAAAGGAAUAUUAAGUGGGCCCGCAUAAUUUUCAACUCAAGUCUGGAUUUCCUCUCUGCGGUCCUGGCUGUUAAACAUAUGACGGAAUACUUUCAUCAAAAACUUGGAGGCAAGCAUCGAUGAUGCAGGAAAUAGUAGAUAAAUUGGGAUGUGACGUUUAUAUCCUCUCACUUUGCGUCAACACAUGGAUGGACUGCAAAACCAACUAGUUAUUAGAAAUUACCUAAUCGAUGAAAAGGUUUGGAUUUGAAGCACUGAAGGUGACAAAUAG